This 253-nucleotide ribosomal RNA is filed under the name uncultured bacterium. RNAcentral's name for it is "partial 16S ribosomal RNA". It matches the Rfam family "Bacterial small subunit ribosomal RNA", at positions 524 to 776 of the family's 1533-position model. The record is from RNAcentral.
UACGGAGGGGGCUAGCGUUGUUCGGAAUUACUGGGCUUAAAGCGCACGUAGGCGGCUUCGCAAGUCAGAGGUGAAAGCCCGGGGCUCAACCCCGGAACUGCCUUUGAGACUGCGUCGCUCGAAUCCGGGAGAGGCGGGUGGAAUAUGUCGUGUAGAGGUGAAAUGCUUAGAUAUUAGGUAGAACACCAAUGGCGAAGGCGGCCCGCUGGACCGUCAUUGACGCUGAGGUGCGAAAGCGUGGGGAGCAAACAGG